GAUGAACGCUGGCGGCGUGCCUAAUACAUGCAAGUCGAGCGAACAGACGAGGAGCUUGCUCCUCUGACGUUAGCGGCGGACGGGUGAGUAACACGUGGAUAACCUACCUAUAAGACUGGGAUAACUUCGGGAAACCGGAGCUAAUACCGGAUAAUAUAUUAAACCGCAUGGUUCAAUAGUGAAAGACGGUUUUGCUGUCACUUAUAGAUGGAUCCGCGCCGCAUUAGCUAGUUGGUAAGGUAACGGCUUACCAAGGCAACGAUGCGUAGCCGACCUGAGAGGGUGAUCGGCCACACUGGAACUGAGACACGGUCCAGACUCCUACGGGAGGCAGCAGUAGGGAAUCUUCCGCAAUGGGCGAAAGCCUGACGGAGCAACGCCGCGUGAGUGAUGAAGGUCUUCGGAUCGUAAAUCUCUGUUAUUAGGGAAGAACAAAUGUGUAAGUAACUAUGCACGUCUUGACGGUACCUAAUCAGAAAGCCACGGCUAACUACGUG
RNAcentral lists this ribosomal RNA (497 nucleotides) under uncultured bacterium. RNAcentral's name for it is "partial 16S ribosomal RNA". It matches the Rfam family "Bacterial small subunit ribosomal RNA", at positions 28 to 507 of the family's 1533-position model. The record is from RNAcentral.